GACGAACGCUGGCGGCGUGCUUAACACAUGCAAGUCGAACGGAAAGGCCCUGCUUUUGUGGGGUGCUCGAGUGGCGAACGGGUGAGUAACACGUGAGUAACCUGCCCUUGACUUUGGGAUAACUUCAGGAAACUGGGGCUAAUACCGGAUAGGAGCUCCUGCUGCAUGGUGGGGGUUGGAAAGUUUCGGCGGUUGGGGAUGGACUCGCGGCUUAUCAGCUUGUUGGUGGGGUAGUGGCUUACCAAGGCUUUGACGGGUAGCCGGCCUGAGAGGGUGACCGGCCACAUUGGGACUGAGAUACGGCCCAGACUCCUACGGGAGGCAGCAGUGGGGAAUAUUGCACAAUGGGCGGAAGCCUGAUGCAGCAACGCCGCGUGCGGGAUGACGGCCUUCGGGUUGUAAACCGCUUUCGCCUGUGACGAAGCGUGAGUGACGGUAAUGGGUAAAGAAGCACCGGCUAACUACGUGCCAGCAGCCGCGGUGAUACGUAGGGUGCGAGCGUUGUCCGGAUUUAUUGGGCGUAAAGGGCUCGUAGGUGGUUGAUCGCGUCGGAAGUGUAAUCUUGGGGCUUAACCCUGAGCGUGCUUUCGAUACGGGUUGACUUGAGGAAGGUAGGGGAGAAGGAAUUCCUGGUGGAGCGGUGGAAUGCGCAGAUAUCAGGAGGAACACCAGUGGCGAAGGCGGUUCUCUGGGCCUUUCCUGACGCUGAGGAGCGAAAGCGUGGGGAGCGAACAGGCUUAGAUACCCUGGUAGUCCACGCUGUAAACGGUGGGUACUAGGUGUGGGGUCCAUUCCACGGGUUCCGUGCCGUAGCUAACGCUUUAAGUACCCCGCCUGGGGAGUACGGCCGCAAGGCUAAAACUCAAAGGAAUUGACGGGGCCCCGCACAAGCGGCGGAGCAUGCGGAUUAAUUCGAUGCAACGCGUAGAACCUUACCUGGGUUUGACAUGGAUCGGGAGCGCUCAGAGAUGGGUGUGCCUCUUUUGGGGUCGGUUCACAGGUGGUGCAUGGCUGUCGUCAGCUCGUGUCGUGAGAUGUUGGGUUAAGUCCCGCAACGAGCGCAACCCUUGUUCACUGUUGCCAGCACGUUAUGGUGGGGACUCAGUGGAGACCGCCGGGGUCAACUCGGAGGAAGGUGGGGAUGACGUCAAGUCAUCAUGCCCCUUAUGUCCAGGGCUUCACGCAUGCUACAAUGGCUGGUACAGAGAGUGGCGAGCCUGUGAGGGUGAGCGAAUCUCGGAAAGCCGGUCUCAGUUCGGAUUGGGGUCUGCAACUCGACCUCAUGAAGUCGGAGUCGCUAGUAAUCGCAGAUCAGCAACGCUGCGGUGAAUACGUUCCCGGGGCU
This 1345-nucleotide ribosomal RNA is filed under the name uncultured bacterium. Its description in RNAcentral is "bacterial SSU rRNA". It matches the Rfam family "Bacterial small subunit ribosomal RNA", at positions 28 to 1381 of the family's 1533-position model. The record is from RNAcentral.